CCUACGGGCGGCUGCAGUGGGGAAUAUUGGACAAUGGGGGCAACCCUGAUCCAGCCAUGCCGCGUGUGUGAAGAAGGCCCUCGGGUUGUAAAGCACUUUCAGUGAGGAAGAACGCCUGGUGGUUAAUACCCAUCAGGAAAGACAUCACUCACAGAAGAAGCACCGGCUAACUCCGUGCCAGCAGCCGCGGUAAUACGGAGGGUGCGAGCGUUAAUCGGAAUUACUGGGCGUAAAGCGCGCGUUGGUGGCUUGAUAAGCCGGUUGUGAAAGCCCCGGGCUCAACCUGGGAACGGCAUCCGGAACUGUCAAGCUAGAGUGCAGGAGAGGAAGGUAGAAUUCCCGGUGUAGCGGUGAAAUGCGUAGAGAUCGGGAGGAAUACCAGUGGCGAAGGCGGCCUUCUGGACUGACACUGACACUGAGGUGCGAAAGCGUGGGUAGCAAACAGGAUUAGAUACCCCUGUAGUC
RNAcentral lists this ribosomal RNA (465 nucleotides) under Vreelandella stevensii. RNAcentral describes it as "partial 16S ribosomal RNA". It matches the Rfam family "Bacterial small subunit ribosomal RNA", at positions 338 to 795 of the family's 1533-position model. Lineage: Bacteria; Pseudomonadati; Pseudomonadota; Gammaproteobacteria; Oceanospirillales; Halomonadaceae. The record is from RNAcentral.